GGGGGAUAUUGCACAAUGGGGGAAACCCUGAUGCAGCGACGCCGCGUGAUUGAAGAAGGCCUUCGGGUUGUAAAGAUCUUUAAUCAGGGACGAAACAAAUGACGGUACCUGAAGAAUAAGCUCCGGCUAACUACGUGCCAGCAGCCGCGGUAAAACGUAGGGUGCAAGCGUUGUCCGGAAUUACUGGGUGUAAAGGGAGCGCAGGCGGACCGGCAAGUUGGAAGUGAAAACUAUGGGCUCAACCCAUAAAUUGCUUUCAAAACUGCUGGCCUUGAGUAGUGCAGAGGUAGGUGGAAUUCCCGGUGUAGCGGUGGAAUGCGUAGAUAUCGGGAGGAACACCAGUGGCGAAGGCGACCUACUGGGCACCAACUGACGCUGAGGCUCGAAAGCAUGGGUAGCAAACAGGAUUAGAUACCCUGGUAGUCCAUGCCGUAAACGAUGAUUACUAGGUGUUGGAGGAUUGACCCCUUCAGUGCCGCAGUUAACACAAUAAGUAAUCCACCUGGGGAGUACGACCGCAAGGUUGAAACUCAAAGGAAUUGACGGGGGCCCGCACAAGCAGUGGAGUAUGUGGUUUAAUUCGAAGCAACGCGAAGAACCUUACCAGGUCUUGACAUCCGAUGCAUAGCUUAGAGAUAAGUGAAGUCCUUCGGGACAUCGAGACAGGUGGUGCAUGGUUGUCGUCAGCUCGUGUCGUGAGAUGUUGGGUUAAGUCCCGCAACGAGCGCAACCCUUAUUGCCAGUUACUACGCAAGAGGACUCUGGCGAGACUGCCGUUGACAAAACGGAGGAAGGUGGGGAUGACGUCAAAUCAUCAUGCCCUUUAUGACCUGGGCUACACACGUACUACAAUGGCCGGUACAGAGGGAUGCCACCCCGCGAGGGGGAGCGGAUCCCGGAAAGCCGGCCCCAGUUCGGAUUGGGGGCUGCAACCCGCCCCCAUGAAGUCGGAGUUGCUAGUAAUCGCGGAUCAGCAUGCCGCGGUGAAUGCGUUCCCG
This 998-nucleotide ribosomal RNA is filed under the name uncultured bacterium. RNAcentral's name for it is "bacterial SSU rRNA". It matches the Rfam family "Bacterial small subunit ribosomal RNA", at positions 356 to 1376 of the family's 1533-position model. The record is from RNAcentral.